This 441-nucleotide ribosomal RNA is filed under the name uncultured bacterium. Its description in RNAcentral is "bacterial SSU rRNA". It matches the Rfam family "Bacterial small subunit ribosomal RNA", at positions 339 to 796 of the family's 1533-position model. The record is from RNAcentral.
CUACGGGAGGCAGCAGUGAGGGAUAUUGCACAAUGGGCGAAAGCCUGAUGCAGCGACGCCGCGUGGGUGAAGAAGGCCUUCGGGUCGUAAAGCCCUUUUCCCACUGAAGAGGAAGGACGGUAAGUGGGGAAUAAGUCUCGGCUAACUACGUGCCAGCAGCCGCGGUAAAACGUAGGAGGCAAGCGUUAUCCGGAGUUACUGGGCGUAAAGAGCGCGCAGGCGGUUCGAUAAGUGGGUCGUGAAAGCUCCCGGCUAAACUGGGAGAGGACGAUUCAGACUGUCGGGCUAGAGGAUGGUAGAGGGGCGUGGAAUUCCGGGUGUAGCGGUGAAAUGUGUAGAGAUCCGGAGGAACACCAGUGGUGCAGACGGCGCCCUGGGCCACACCUGACGCUGAGGCGCGAAAGCUUGGGGAGCGAACGGGAUUAGAAACCCUUGUAGUCC